Molecule: ribosomal RNA, 114 nt
Filed under: Acanthosepion pharaonis
Lineage: Eukaryota; Metazoa; Mollusca; Cephalopoda; Sepiida; Sepiidae
Source: RNAcentral
UUACGGUCAAAUCACGCUGAAACAUCGGUUCUCGUACGAUCACCGAAGUUAAGCAGCGUAGAGCCAGGUGAGUACUUAGAUGGGGGACCGCUUGGGAACACCUGGUACUGUAAG